This 466-nucleotide ribosomal RNA is filed under the name Morganella morganii. Its description in RNAcentral is "bacterial SSU rRNA". It matches the Rfam family "Bacterial small subunit ribosomal RNA", at positions 928 to 1396 of the family's 1533-position model. The record is from RNAcentral. Lineage: Bacteria; Pseudomonadati; Pseudomonadota; Gammaproteobacteria; Enterobacterales; Morganellaceae.
AGCGGUGACAUGUGGUUUAUUCGAUGCAACGCGAAGAACCUUACCUACUCUUGACAUCCAGAGAACUUAGCAGAGAUGCUUUGGUGCCUUCGGGAACUCUGAGACAGGUGCUGCAUGGCUGUCGUCAGCUCGUGUUGUGAAAUGUUGGGUUAAGUCCCGCAACGAGCGCAACCCUUAUCCUUUGUUGCCAGCGCGUGAUGUCGGGAACUCAAAGGAGACUGCCGGUGAUAAACCGGAGGAAGGUGGGGAUGACGUCAAGUCAUCAUGGCCCUUACGAGUAGGGCUACACACGUGCUACAAUGGCGUAUACAAAGGGAAGCGACCCUGCGAAGGCAAGCGGAACUCAUAAAGUACGUCGUAGUCCGGAUUGGAGUCUGCAACUCGACUCCAUGAAGUCGGAAUCGCUAGUAAUCGUAGAUCAGAAUGCUACGGUGAAUACGUUCCCGGGCCUUGUACACACCGCCCG